This 497-nucleotide ribosomal RNA is filed under the name uncultured bacterium. RNAcentral describes it as "partial 16S ribosomal RNA". It matches the Rfam family "Bacterial small subunit ribosomal RNA", at positions 28 to 507 of the family's 1533-position model. The record is from RNAcentral.
GAUGAACGCUGGCGGCGUGCCUAAUACAUGCAAGUCGAGCGAACAGAUGAGGAGCUUGCUCCUCUGACGUUAGCGGCGGACGGGUGAGUAACACGUGGAUAACCUACCUAUAAGACUGGGAUAACUUCGGGAAACCGGAGCUAAUACCGGAUAAUAUAUUGAACCGCAUGGUUCAAUAGUGAAAGACGGUUUUGCUGUCACUUAUAGAUGGAACCGCGCCGCAUUAGCUAGUUGGUAAGGUAACGGCUUACCAAGGCAACGAUGCGUAGCCGACCUGAGAGGGGGACGCCGCACAGAGAGAUGGAGACGCCCUCGAGACACCGAGAGGCGGCAGCGAGGGGGACUCGACGAAGAUGGGGGAAAGCCUGACGAAGCAGCGCGGGGGGGAUGAAGAGGGGCUGCGGAUGGUAAAACUUUUUUAUGGGGGAAAAACACAUUUGAAAGAAACGAAGCGCUUUUUGACGGUACAUAAAGAAGAAGCCCCGGCUAACUACGUG